CCCUGGUCCCAGAUUCUGACCCAGCAGGUCUGGGGCAGGAAGAGCCCAGGAGUCUGCAUUUCUAAAAAGCAGUGAAGACUAGAGGUCAAUUUUCAAGGUGAUUCUGUGCCCUGUUAUGCCCAUCACCCUUUCAACAAAGCACCGCAUCUCAAAAUCCACUGUUCUCCUUUGUCAAGCUUUACUUUCUAUAAGUGCAUUGGGGAUAAGCUCUGAGGGGAAGACCAGGCAGCCCGUUCAGGAUAUAAAUGAGCUCUCCCAAAACGAGCACUUUGUCAAGAAUGAUGGACGGCCCUUUCUGAAACCAGCAAGUGUGUUAAAAAUACAGCUCGUGGGUAUGGCUGUCUGCCAGAUGAUGACAACCCUUCCCGCCCAGAUACCCUCCAUCUGACUGCCCCCCCUGAAUUCUGCAGCAGCCCCUCACUGCUUUGGUGUACCCACUCCUGUUACCCCCACCCACUCCCCACUGUAGCCAGAGACAUUUUUAAGGAACUCAAAUCCACCUCUGUCUGUUUCAGUGUUUCCAACCUGUCUUGUGGGUCAGGUUCAGAACCCCUAGGGCAGCCCAGGGCACCUGGGGUACAGUGGAUAUCAAUGAAAGAGUGGAAUGAAGGAAGAAGAGAGAUUCCAGGGCACCUGGGUGGCUCAGUGGUUGAGCAUCUCUUUGGCUCAGGUCGUGAUCCCAUGGUCCUGAGAUUGAGUUCCACAUCGGGUUUCCCUGCAAGGAGCCUGCUUCUCCCUCUGCCUGUGUCUCUGCCCCUCUCUCUGUGUCUGUCAUGAAUAAAUAAAUAAAAUCUUGAAAGAAGCAGCAGAAAUAGUAGUAGAAGGGAGAGUCCUAGUAGCAGAUUUUGGGGGUCUCCUAGUCUAAAGGAAGGUCAACAGUAGCCUAGGAAUGGACAGGAAGCCCUGGGGGAACUGAGUCCCCCAUCACCAAAGGAAUCCAAAUAGGCUAGAUGAGUAGAUCCUUGGUAAGGACACUGGAAACUGUGUAGGAUGCCGAACAGUGGGCAUCAGCAGGAUGCAAUGAUUCUUUUUAAAAUGCCCCCUUUAUGAGGAGAACCCUCUUGCACUGUUGGUGGGAAUGUGAACUGGUGCAGCCACUCUGGAAAACUGUGUGGAGGUUCUUCAAAGGGUUAAAAAUAGACCUGCCCUCCGACCCAGCAAUUGCCCUGCUGGGGAUUUACCCCAAAGAUACAGAUGCAGUGAAACACCGGACACCUGCACCCCGAUGUUUCUAGCAGCAAUGUCCACAAUAGCCAAACUGUGGAGGGAGCCUCGGUGUCCAUCGAAAGAAGAAUGGAUCAAGAAGCUGUGGUCUAUGUAUACAAUGGAAUAUUCCUCAGCCAUUAGAAACGACAAAUACCCACCAUUUGCUUCGACGUGGAUGGAACUGGAGGGUAUUCUGCUGAGUGAAAUCAGCCAAUCGGAGAAGGACAAACGUUAUAUGGUCUCAUUCAUUUGGGGAAUAUAAAAAAUAGUGAAAGCGAAUAAAAAGGAAAGGAGAGAAAAUGAGUGAAAAUAUCAGAGAGGGAGACAGAACAUGAGAGACACCUAACUCUGGGAAAUGAACCAGGGGUGGUGGAAAGGGAG
RNAcentral lists this long non-coding RNA (1587 nucleotides) under Canis lupus familiaris (dog). RNAcentral describes it as "lncRNA (ENSCAFG00000053031.1)". Lineage: Eukaryota; Metazoa; Chordata; Mammalia; Carnivora; Canidae. The record is from RNAcentral.